AUUGAACGCUGGCGGCGUGCCUAACACAUGCAAGUCGAGCGGUAACAGGUGUAGCAAUACAUGCUGACGAGCGGCGAACGGGUGAGUAAUGCUUCGGAAUCUACCCAAUGGUGGGGAAUAACCAGCCGAAAGGUUGGCUAAUACCGCAUACGUCCCACGGGAGAAAGCAGGGAUCGCAAGACCUUGCGCCAAUGGAUGAGCCGAAGUCGGAUUAGCUAGUUGGAGGGUAACGGCCUACCAAGGCGACGAUCCGUAGCUGGUCUGAGAGGACGACCAGCCACACUGGGACUGAGACACGGCCCAGACUCCUACGGGAGGCAGCAGUGGGGAAUAUUGGACAAUGGGGGAAACCCUGAUCCAGCGACGCCGCGUGUGUGAAGAAGGCC
Molecule: ribosomal RNA, 386 nt
Filed under: uncultured bacterium
Lineage: Bacteria
Description: bacterial SSU rRNA
Rfam family: Bacterial small subunit ribosomal RNA
Source: RNAcentral